RNAcentral lists this long non-coding RNA (1388 nucleotides) under Numida meleagris (helmeted guineafowl). RNAcentral's name for it is "lncRNA (ENSNMEG00000002573.1)". The record is from RNAcentral. Lineage: Eukaryota; Metazoa; Chordata; Aves; Galliformes; Numididae.
GUUGUUGUUUGGUGGUUGUUUUCUUUUUCCGCUUGUUUCUUUAAUUAUUUUUUUUUUCUUUUUUUUGUGGCUGUUGCUUCACUUUUUCACAUACAUUUCAGUUGUUCUUCUAUUUCGGUCAUUCCUUCGUUCGAUUGUUCUUUUCAUUUCAGUUGUUCUCUUUUCCGGUCGUUCAUUUUGUUCCGGCUGUUCUCUUUAUUCCGGUUGUUCUUUCUUUUCUUUCCGGUUGUUCCCUUUUCCACUUGUUCUCAUUGUUUCAGUUUUAUUUGCCAGUUGGUUCAUUUCAUUCCAGUUGUUCUCUUUUCCGGGUGUUCAUUUCAAUCCGGUUGUUCUCUUUUCCGGUUGUUCUUUUCCUUCCGGUUGUUCAUUUCAUUUUGGUUGUUCUCUUUUCCAGUUGUUCAUUUUGUUCCGGUUGUUCUCUUUUCCGGUUGUUCUCUUUUCCGGUUGUUCAUUUCAGUUGCUCUCUUUAUUCCAGUUGUUCUUUUCCUUCCGAUUGUUCUCUUUUCUGGUUCCUCUCUUUUCUGGUUGUUCUCUUUAUUCUGGUUGUUCUUUUCAUUCCAGUUACUCUCUUUUCCGGUUGUUCUCUUUAUUUUCGUUGUUCUCUUUUAUUCCGGUUGUUCUUUUCCUUCCAGUUGUUCUCUUUUCGGGUUGUUCUCUUUAUUCCGGUUGUUCUUUUCCUUUCUGUUGUUCUCUUUUCUGCUUGUUCGCAUUAUUUCAGUUUUAUUUUCCAGUUGUUCAUUUCAUUCCGACUGUUCUCUUCAUUUCGGUUCAUUUCAUUUUGGUUGUUCUCUUUUCCAGUUGUUCUCUUUAUUCCGGUUGUUCUUUUCCUUCCGAUUGUUCAUUUCAUUUCAGUUGUUCUCUUUUCCAGUUGUUCUCUUUUCCGCUUGUUCUCUUUAUUCUGGUUGUUCAUUUCAUUCCGGUUGUUCUCUUUUCCGGUUGUUCUCUUUUCUGGUUGUUCUCCUUUCCGGUUGUUCUUUCAUUUCAGUUGUUCUCUUUUGCGGUUGUUCUCCUUAUUCUGGUUGUUUUUUUCCUUCUGGUUGUUCAUUUCAUUUCAGUUGUUCUUUUCCUUCCGGUUUUUCAUUUCAUUUCGGUUGUUCUUUUCAUUGCGGUUGUUCUCUUUUCCGGUUGUUCUCUUUAUUCCAGUUGUUCUUUUCCUUCCGGUUGUUCUUUUCCUUCCUGUUCUUCUCUUUUCCGGUUGUUCAUUUCAGUUGUUCUCUUUAUUCCAGUUGUUCAUUUCAUUCCGAUUGUUCUCUUCAUUUUGGUUCAUUUCCUUCUGGUUGUUCUCUUUUCCGCUUGUUCUCUUUAUUCCGGUUGUUCUUUUCCUUCCGAUUGUUCAUUUCGUUCCAGUUGUUCUCUUUUCCAGUUGUUCUCUUUUCCGGUUGUUCUCU